RNA transcript from Mustela lutreola (European mink), 834 nucleotides. It is a transcript of the gene named cytochrome c oxidase subunit 4 isoform 2, mitochondrial, with no coding region annotated. The transcript is spliced from 6 exons. The record is from RefSeq and is a predicted model, not a curated record. NCBI's taxonomy places the organism in Eukaryota, Metazoa, Chordata, Mammalia, Carnivora, Mustelidae.
CACACAGGGGUUGGCCUUGGGAAAGGCAGUGGGGCGGGCCCGGGGGCGGGCGCCCCGCGCUCUGGUCCUUCUGCGGGCCCAGUCUCCGUUACUCGCUCUGCGGACCCAAGUUGCCGUCGGCGCUGAGCCGCGAGAUGUUCUUCAGAGCUGCCUGGAGCUUGGUGCUGAGGAAAACAGGACCUGGGAUGCGGGGGACCCACGGCCCAGGAAGCGCUGCCCACCGCGAGGGGAAGAUGCCGCCCUACACCAACUACCAUGCCCAGCGCUCCUACCCCAUGCCUGAUGAGCCCUUCUGCACAGAGCUCAAUGCUGAGCAGCGGGCCCUGAAGGAGAAGGAGAAGGGCAGCUGGACCCAGCUGAGCCACGCCGAGAAGGUGGCCUUGUACCGCCUUCAGUUCCAUGAGACCUUCGCAGAGAUGAACCGUCGCUCCAACGAGUGGAAGACAGUGAUGGGCUGUGUUUUCUUCUUUUUUGGAUUCACAGCUCUGAUGAUUUGGUGGCAGCGGGUCUAUGAGAGAAAUUACAAGUACACUGAGAGGCAGGCAGAGAGAGAGAGAGAAGGAAGCAGGCUCCCUGCUGAGCAGAGAGCCCGAUGCGGGACUCGAUCCCAGGACCCUGAGAUCAUGACCUGAGCCGAAGGUAGUGGCUUAACCCACUGAGCCACCCAGGCGCCCCAGCCACUUCAGAUUUUUAAAUGUUUCCAAGGAAGCCCAUCACCCUGACAGAUGAGUGGAAGGCCCAACAGCUCCAGCGUAUCCUGGAUAUGAAGGGCAACCCCGUGCAAGGCCUGGCCUCCCAGUGGGACUAUGAGAAGAAGGAGUGGAAGAAGUGAUG